GCCUGGGUAGCUCAGUCGGUUGAGCGUCUGACUUCCGCUCAGGUCAUGAUCUCACCGUAUGUGGGUUCGAGCCCCACGUUGGGCU
This is a non-coding RNA of Hyaena hyaena (striped hyena), 85 nucleotides long. Lineage: Eukaryota; Metazoa; Chordata; Mammalia; Carnivora; Hyaenidae. The record is from the annotation of a RefSeq genome assembly.